UGGCGGACGGGUGAGUAAUGUCUGGGAAACUGCCCGAUGGAGGGGGAUAACUACUGGAAACGGUAGCUAAUACCGCAUAACGUCGCAAGACCAAAGAGGGGGACCUUCGGGCCUCUUGCCAUCGGAUGUGCCCAGAUGGGAUUAGCUAGUAGGUGGGGUAACGGCUCACCUAGGCGACGAUCCCUAGCUGGUCUGAGAGGAUGACCAGCCACACUGGAACUGAGACACGGUCUAG
RNAcentral lists this ribosomal RNA (235 nucleotides) under uncultured bacterium. RNAcentral's name for it is "partial 16S ribosomal RNA". It matches the Rfam family "Bacterial small subunit ribosomal RNA", at positions 96 to 334 of the family's 1533-position model. The record is from RNAcentral.